Molecule: non-coding RNA, 29 nt
Filed under: Mus musculus (house mouse)
Lineage: Eukaryota; Metazoa; Chordata; Mammalia; Rodentia; Muridae
Source: RNAcentral
UGUGAUUACAGAUGUGUCACUAUACUCAC